Molecule: transfer RNA, 71 nt
Filed under: Loxodonta africana (African savanna elephant)
Lineage: Eukaryota; Metazoa; Chordata; Mammalia; Proboscidea; Elephantidae
Rfam family: tRNA
About the family: Transfer RNA (tRNA) molecules are approximately 80 nucleotides in length. Their secondary structure includes four short double-helical elements and three loops (D, anti-codon, and T loops).
Source: Rfam by way of RNAcentral
ACAUUAGUGGUUCGGUGGUAGAACUCUCACCUUCCAUGUGAGAGACCUGGGUUCAAUUCCUGCCCAAUGCA